UGCCAGCAGCCGCGGUAAUACGAGGGGAGCGAGCAUUGUUCGGAAUCACUGGGCGUAAAGCGUGCGUAGGCGGAUAAGAAAGUCAGAAGUGAAAGCCCAGGGCUCAACCUUGGAACUGCUUUUGAAACUUUUUAUCUAGAGUAUGGGAGAGGAUAGCAGAAUUUCCAGUGUAGAGGUGAAAUUCGUAGAUAUUGGAAGGAAUACCGAUUGCGAAGGCAGCUAUCUGGACCAUUACUGACGCUGAGGUACGAAAGCGUGGGGAGCAAACAGGAUUAGAUA
RNAcentral lists this ribosomal RNA (279 nucleotides) under uncultured bacterium. Its description in RNAcentral is "partial 16S ribosomal RNA". It matches the Rfam family "Bacterial small subunit ribosomal RNA", at positions 506 to 784 of the family's 1533-position model. The record is from RNAcentral.